CCUACGGGAGGCAGCAGUGGGGAAUAUUGCACAAUGGGGGAAACCCUGAUGCAGCGACGCCGCGUGAGUGAAGAAGCGUUUCGGCGCGUAAAGCUCUGUCAGCGGGGAAGAAACACGGUUCGCGAGAGCCGCGGACGGUACCCGACCAAGAACCCCCGGCUAACGACGUGCGAGCAGCCGCGGUAAUACGUAGGGGUCAAGCGUUAUCCGGAUGCACUGGGUGUAAAGGGAGCGUAGACGGCGAGGCAAGGCUGGAGGGAAAGGGCGGGGCCCAAACCCGGGACUGCUAUGGAAACUGCCGGGCUGGAGUACAGGAGAGGUAAGUGGAAUUCCUAGUGUAGCGGUGAAAUGCGUAGAUAUUAGGAGGAACACCAGUGGCGAAGGCGGCUUACUGGACUGUAACUGACGUUGAGGCUCGAAAGCGUGGGGAGCAAACAGGAUUAGAUACCCGGGUAGUC
RNAcentral lists this ribosomal RNA (458 nucleotides) under uncultured bacterium. RNAcentral describes it as "partial 16S ribosomal RNA". It matches the Rfam family "Bacterial small subunit ribosomal RNA", at positions 338 to 795 of the family's 1533-position model. The record is from RNAcentral.